RNAcentral lists this transfer RNA (79 nucleotides) under Bacillota bacterium. RNAcentral's name for it is "Firmicutes bacterium (sediment metagenome) tRNA-Asp". It matches the Rfam family "tRNA". From Rfam's summary of the family: Transfer RNA (tRNA) molecules are approximately 80 nucleotides in length. Their secondary structure includes four short double-helical elements and three loops (D, anti-codon, and T loops). Lineage: Bacteria; Bacillati; Bacillota. RNAcentral also lists the same sequence under 3 other names. The record is from RNAcentral.
GGGGGCGUGGUGUAGCCUGGACGAACACACCUCCCUGUCACGGAGGAGAUCGCGGGUUCAAAUCCCGUCGCUCCCGCCA